GGAAUACAGCUCAGCGGUAGAGCACUUGCCUAGCAUACAUGAGGCCCUGAGUUCAAUCAUCAGCACCA
RNAcentral lists this transfer RNA (68 nucleotides) under Marmota monax (woodchuck). RNAcentral's name for it is "tRNA.Ala". Lineage: Eukaryota; Metazoa; Chordata; Mammalia; Rodentia; Sciuridae. The record is from RNAcentral.